UACAGAGACCUCAAGCGUUAUCCGGAAUCAUUGGGCGUAAAGGGUGUGUAGGCGGCGUCAUUAGUCUUCUGUCAAAGCCUUGGGCUUAACCCAAGAUCUGCAGAAGAAACGGCGAUGCUCGAGGAUGCGAGAGGUAGAUGGAACUCAUGGAGUAGGGGUGAAAUCCGUUGAUAUCAUGGGGAACACCGAAAGCGAAGGCAAUCUACUGGCGCACUCCUGACGCUGAGACACGAAAGCGUGGGUAGCGAACGGG
This 253-nucleotide ribosomal RNA is filed under the name uncultured bacterium. RNAcentral's name for it is "partial 16S ribosomal RNA". It matches the Rfam family "Bacterial small subunit ribosomal RNA", at positions 524 to 776 of the family's 1533-position model. The record is from RNAcentral.